GCUUGUCUCAAAGAUUAAGCCAUGCAUGUCUAAGUAUAAGCACCCUUAUACUGCGAAACUGCGUACAGCUCAUUAUAUCAGCAAUUAUUUAUUUGAAGGUCACCUAUUACAUGGAUAACCGUGGUAAUUCUAGAGCUAAUACGUGCGUAAAUCCCGACUCCUGGAAGGGACGUAUUUAUUAGAUUUAAGGCCAACCGAGCUUGCUCGUCUCUUGGUGAAUCAUGAUAACUUCACGAAUCGCAUGGCCUCGCGCCGGCGAUAUUUCAUUCAAAUUUCUGCCCUAUCAAUUGGCGAUGGUAGGAUAGAGGCCUACCAUGGUGUUAACGGGUGACGGGGGAUUAGGGUUCGAUUCCGGAGAGGCAGCCUGAGAAACGGCUACCACAUCCAAGGAAGGCAGCAGG
RNAcentral lists this ribosomal RNA (401 nucleotides) under Tetraselmis cordiformis. RNAcentral's name for it is "partial small subunit ribosomal RNA". It matches the Rfam family "Eukaryotic small subunit ribosomal RNA", at positions 30 to 432 of the family's 1831-position model. Lineage: Eukaryota; Viridiplantae; Chlorophyta; Chlorodendrophyceae; Chlorodendrales; Chlorodendraceae. The record is from RNAcentral.